GUCCACGCUGUAAACGAUGAGUGCUAGUUGUUGGGAAGUUUACUUCUCAGUGACGCAGCUAACGCGUUAAGCACUCCGCCUGGGGAGUACGGCCGCAAGGUUAAAACUCAAAGGAAUUGACGGGGGCCCCGCACAAGCGGUGGAGCAUGUGGUUUAAUUCGACGCAACGCGAAGAACCUUACCAACCCUUGACAUGUGUAUCGCGGAGACCAGAGACGGUUUCCUUCAGUUCGGCUGGAUACAACACAGGUGCUGCAUGGCUGUCGU
Molecule: ribosomal RNA, 267 nt
Filed under: uncultured bacterium
Lineage: Bacteria
Description: partial 16S ribosomal RNA
Rfam family: Bacterial small subunit ribosomal RNA
Source: RNAcentral